UAAUACGGGGGGUGCGAGCGUUGUCCGGAUUCACUGGGCGUAAAGGGCGCGUAGGCGGCGCUAUCAGUCCGAUCUUCAAGCGCGGGGCUCACCCCCGCGAAGGGUCGGGGACGGUAGAGCUAGGGGCUGGUCGAGGGACGCGGAAUGCCGGGUGUAGUGGUGAAAUGCGUAGAGAUCCGGCGGAACACCGGUGGUGAAGACGGCGUCCUGGGCCGGGCCCGACGCUGAAGCGCGAGAGCGCGGGGAGCGAACCGGAUUAGAUACCCGGGUAGUCCGCGCCGUAAACGGUGGGCACUGGGUGUGGGGGGUAUCGACCCCCUCCGCGCCGGCGCGAACGCAGUAAGUGCCCCGCCUGGGGAGUACGGCCGCAAGGCUA
Molecule: ribosomal RNA, 376 nt
Filed under: uncultured bacterium
Lineage: Bacteria
Description: bacterial SSU rRNA
Rfam family: Bacterial small subunit ribosomal RNA
Source: RNAcentral